Molecule: transfer-messenger RNA, 367 nt
Filed under: Calditrichota bacterium
Lineage: Bacteria; Pseudomonadati; Calditrichota
Description: Calditrichaeota bacterium transfer-messenger RNA
Rfam family: transfer-messenger RNA
About the family: Bacterial tmRNA, also known as 10Sa RNA or SsrA, is named for its dual tRNA and mRNA-like properties.
Source: RNAcentral
GGGGACGACAUGGCUUCGACGGGGGUCGAGGAGCUAAGGACUGCAUGCCGAGGUUUUUUCAGGUCCUCGUAAAACAACUGAAAACUAAAAUUAAACGCAGACAAUUAUGCGUAUGCAAUGGCUGCCUAGUUAUUCUUAAUUAGGUGACCCGCGUUUCCGGGCUUGGCCACAGAGUCCGGGCAACGCGUCGAUUUUGUGGCUAUAUUUCCCGUUUUGCUUGAGGGCGGGAGACGAACAUUUUCGAGCUGGCUUUGACGGGUUUUGUUUGCCGAACCUGGAAAGGCGAGAUUUAAUCGACAAACUAAGCAUGUAGAUGUUCUUGGUGACUGUCCUUCGGACGUGGGUUCGAUUCCCACCGUCUCCACUA